UACGGAGGGUGCGAGCGUUGUCCGGAAUCACUGGGCGUAAAGGGCGCGUAGGCGCCCUGGCAGUCGGUGGUGAAAGCCCGUGGCUCAACUGCGGGUCGGCCACCGAUACUCCAGGGCUCGAGUUUGGUAGAGGCAGAUGGAAUUCCGGGUGUAGCGGUGGAAUGCGUAGAGAUCCGGAAGAACACCGGUGGCGAAGGCGGUCUGCUGGGCCAAGACUGACGCUGAGGCGCGACAGCGUGGGGGAGCAAACAGG
This 253-nucleotide ribosomal RNA is filed under the name uncultured bacterium. Its description in RNAcentral is "partial 16S ribosomal RNA". It matches the Rfam family "Bacterial small subunit ribosomal RNA", at positions 524 to 776 of the family's 1533-position model. The record is from RNAcentral.